This is a long non-coding RNA of Cyprinus carpio carpio, 1054 nucleotides long. Lineage: Eukaryota; Metazoa; Chordata; Actinopteri; Cypriniformes; Cyprinidae. The record is from Ensembl.
GGCACUCACAACGUCAAGAUCACGGCUACAGUUCCCAAUUAAAUGCACUUUCUUUUGAUUAAAUAUGUCUGCCAAAUGCAUGUGUAAAUAGGCUACCAUUAGUGGGUCGUUGAGAAACUGACAUGACAUAAAACACAUCCAGUUUUUAUUUUGGGUCUUGCGAAUGCAUUUAAACUGAUCCACAAUGCAACGUGAGAGCUAAACCAACCUCACUAGAUGGAAGUUUCAAGAAAUUGACUCAUAAAAUAAACUUCCAGAAAUGCAGAAAAGCCUUGUAGCCUUCAGAAUCACUUGUGUGUUGUCGGCCAAAAAUAUUCCUCCCACUUACACGAGGCUCAAUAAUAGUGCAAAUCUCUUUAACAUCUAUUUGGGAUAUUCAAAGAGGUGUUUGCCCGAUGAAAUUUCGCUUGUUUGAAUUCGUGCGUGCGCGCGCGUGUGCGUUUGCGCGAGAAAGAAACUGAGGGAGAGAAAUAAUGAAGCCUGUCUUCGCAUCAUGAGGCCUUUCCCAUGCCGCAUUACUCUAGUGCCAUCAGACGGCGAGGGAGGCCAUCAGCAGCGUUGCGUCUGUACGACUCUGCUAAUUAUUCUCCUGCCUUUAUUAGACUACAGCCAUCAGAGAGAGAAGGGGAAAGACAUCAUCUCCAGCCUAAUUCUCUCCCUCGCUCUAUCUAUCUAUUUCCCGUCAGACUCUGGUCUGAAUGAGGCGCUCGCUUUUAUCACCAGAUUACUUCACAGGGUGACUCCAAGCCAUUAAAUUCUUAUCUGUGUCAGAGCUGAAAUAUGAUGUUUACGGGCCUGUCUGGCUAUUAGUGUUAGAAUUGAGAUCUCAUAUCCACGACAGGCUCAGUAGACACUGCAGAAUUGAUUAGGUGAGCAUGUCGCUUGAUUUGAACGUGAAAGCUGUAUUACACGCCAAAUGAUGCACACCUGACAUUAAGACGAACAUUAAGGCUAAUUAUUAGAGUCUGUGUGUCUGUGCGCAAAUAUCUAUGAAGCAAUAUCUCCGCCUGACAACAUUUUGUCAAAGAAAAGCUCAUUAAACACUAAAUUAGAC